RNAcentral lists this ribosomal RNA (253 nucleotides) under uncultured bacterium. Its description in RNAcentral is "partial 16S ribosomal RNA". It matches the Rfam family "Bacterial small subunit ribosomal RNA", at positions 524 to 776 of the family's 1533-position model. The record is from RNAcentral.
UACGUAGGGGGCGAGCGUUGUCCGGAGUUACUGGGCGUAAAGGGCACGCAGGCGGUCGUGUAAGUUUGGGGUUACAGCUCCCGGCUCACCUGGGAGAGCGCCUCGAAGACUGCAAGACUUGAGGGCCAGAGAGGGACACAGAAUUCCGGGUGUAGUGGUGAAAUGCGUAGAUAUCCGGAGGAAUACCAAAGGCGAAGGCAGUGUCCUGGGUGGUUUCUGACGCUGAGGUGCGAAAGCUAGGGGAGCGAACGGG